RNAcentral lists this ribosomal RNA (494 nucleotides) under uncultured bacterium. Its description in RNAcentral is "partial 16S ribosomal RNA". It matches the Rfam family "Bacterial small subunit ribosomal RNA", at positions 28 to 507 of the family's 1533-position model. The record is from RNAcentral.
GACGAACGCUGGCGGCGUGCUUAACACAUGCAAGUCGAACGGAAAGGCCUGCUUUCCCUUGUGGAUUGCGGGUACUCGAGUGGCGAACGGGUGAGUAACACGUGAGUGAUCUGCCCCCAACUUGGGUAUAAGCCUGGGAAACUGGGUCUAAUUCCCGAUAGGACUGCAGGGUGGUGCCUGUGGUGGAAAACGAUUUUCUAGUGGUUGGGGAUGAGCUCGCGGCCUAUCAGCUUGUUGGUGGGGUAAUGGCCUACCAAGGCGGCGACGGGUAGCCGGCCUGAGAGGGUGGACGGCCACAUUGGGACUGAGAUACGGCCCAGACUCCUACGGGAGGCAGCAGUGGGGAAUAUUGCACAAUGGGCGGAAGCCUGAUGCAGCGACGCCGCGUGGGGGAUGACGGCCUUCGGGUUGUAAACUCCUUUCGACCGCGAGGAAGCCACCUGGUUGGAAGGGUGAUGACGGUAGUGGUAGAAGAAGCACCGGCUAACUACGUG